This 333-nucleotide non-coding RNA is filed under the name Pongo abelii (Sumatran orangutan). The record is from RNAcentral. Lineage: Eukaryota; Metazoa; Chordata; Mammalia; Primates; Hominidae.
UUCAGGCAGGGUUGGAAUUCCGGCCCAACCACAGAUCAGCAAUGUGAAACCUUUAGGAAGUUACUUCAUUUCUUUGUGCUUUGAAUACUCCAUCUGUAGAACGGGUAUUAUAAUCGCGUAAGGAGAAAAGGGGUACAAGAGGUUUCUACUGCUGGGCUAAAGCCCUGGUGGGUUCUGGUAGCUAUAAAACCACGAACGUAAGGUAAGGAUUAGAGAAGGAACCCAGAGUGGCUGCGAGUCAAGAAAAGACAUCAGAUAACAGCAAUUAUUUUACCAUUAUGUGACAUGUAAUACUAAUGUUCCUACCUGAAGAUAAAGAGCACAAUUUUAAAA